RNAcentral lists this long non-coding RNA (694 nucleotides) under Pan troglodytes (chimpanzee). RNAcentral describes it as "long non-coding RNA NONPTRT017386". The record is from RNAcentral. Lineage: Eukaryota; Metazoa; Chordata; Mammalia; Primates; Hominidae.
UCAUAGCAUCCAGCAUUGUACUUACUUCACAGGAGGUGCCCCCAAAUAUAUUUGACUGAUUACAACCUUCUUCACUGAAGAAUUAAAACAGGUAAAUCUUUGAUGAACCAAUCCCAUUGAUCCCCUAGAAGCCCACUCAGUUGUAUGAGUUUUUGAGUGAAGACCAUGAGGAACUCUUAUAUUAGCCUAAGUCAUCCCAAACAUACUUAACUCCUGGAAUGGGGACCCCAGAAGAAGAGCAAGUCUGGUUGCUAACAGUUUUGAAGCCAUUUUAUUGUGAGCACUGCAUGGCCCUGAAGCUCCCAGACUGGAGAGCAUCUCUGUACCCUAAGGACGAUCUGAUCUUCUCAAGAAACCAGCACCAGAACCCACCUGAUCUCCAGAUAAUUCUUUGGGCUAAUUAGAGAAAAUGGAAGAUCCAUCUCUUUUUCCAUAAUUGGGCUACAGCUUGGCACUGAAUCAACCCUGGAUGGUAGAGCCUUUUCAGCUACGGUAUUUAGCAACUCUUACACCAUUCAUUGAAUUUAUUUCUGGAUUUUCCCCCUCCAAGUAUCCUUUCACAUCCUUAUCCAAAUUCUGCCCACUUCUCUCCCUGUCUGGAGAUUAUUUCUAUGAUAAGAAAUUAAUUAGCCUGUCUGUACUACCUGUUCCAGGAGACUUUGAACAACUGCGUGGGUAAACACUAGAUGUGGUC